Molecule: long non-coding RNA, 2015 nt
Organism: Osmerus eperlanus (European smelt)
Lineage: Eukaryota; Metazoa; Chordata; Actinopteri; Osmeriformes; Osmeridae
Exons: 4
Source: RefSeq, a predicted model, not a curated record
GUCGGCCACAAUCUUCCUCGCUCGCCUCAGGGUCCUCGAGGUGUGCAGGUCCUUGAGGGUAGGCAUAUUGCAGCCGAUCACCUUCUCAGCAGUGCAGAUGAUACGCUGCUGCCACUGCCAAGGACAAGAGCAGACUGCAGCGUAUCAUCCGAUGGAUGAUCUGAUCAUAACAGAUCAGUGAUGGAAGAGGUGAGGAUGGACUCAAUGAUGGCUGUGUAGAAUGCACCAUAGUUGUCUUUGGCAAGUUUAAUUUCUUCCGCUGCCGCAUGAAGUAAAUCCUCUGUUGUGCUUUCUUGGUGAGGGAGCUGAUGUUCAGUUCCCACUUGAGGUCCUGGGAGAGGAUAGUGCCCAGGAAGCGGAAGGACUCCACAGGGUUUACUGGGGCUGUAUUCUUAGUAGUCCACAAACAUCUCCACUGUCUUAAGAGCAUUAGCUCUUGGUUGUUCUGGCUACACAAGGUCACCAGGUUAUUUUAACUACUGAUAGUGGUAGGUUAUCUUGCUAACACAUAUCCAAAAAUGCACAGUGUCCAAAACACUAAGAACAUUAUUCUAGUUUUCUAAUACUUUACCAUUGUGUUGGCCGGUAGGAUUUGUAACGCAAAUAGGCCUAAUGUCAGUUUUCUGGUCAUUUCCACAAAAUUAUGCAUAAAGUAACUCUGCGAUUGGGGCCACUAUAAAAUGCAUUCUGAGUAAAACCUUUCACUUUGGCACCAACCUUUUAGUCCAGCAUAUGAUCUGGACAAGUCAUGGGAUAAAGCCCCAGUUUAUAAAAAAGUAACUUAUUUGUUGCACAAAUUUACCCUGUAACCAACACAGAAAUGUAUGAUAUGACUUGUGCUUGGUUUGGAAAGAUGUACAUUUUUUCGAACAUAUAGGGGUACAAAUGCAAUAAGAAAGAUGUCAGUGUGUGACCCAUGGUGUGACCAAAUUUAUGUUGGGGGAUGGGAUGACUACUGCCUCAGGGCUGUCAAGGAAUUUCCUAGGAGAUUAGAAACAGUAAGUCUAUUGUUAUUAAUGCUAGUAAACAGAAAACUCUGUGAAAUCAACAAUGAACUGUCCAAUAUAAUAAUUGGACAGUAAAUUGGACAGUAAAAAUAUUUAUCUCGGAGACAACAUUGAAUGUUGAUUUUUGAAUGAGGAAGGUUCACACAUGCGCAGUGGUUGUAGCAGUAGCACUUUGCUUCUCCCAACUGUCACUGCCGCACAUGGCGCGAAAACCGGAGAAGAAUGGAGGUUUCAGCUGCUCCAGAAGUUAUAGGAUUCAGGAAUUAUACUGACUGAAGAAGAGACAAAGAGAUUCAGAGAUUUACAUUUUCUCACACUCUACAUUGUCACCUGGAGUCAGCUCUGUAACCGUGGCCCCAAGUUUUUGUGAUUUACAUUUUCUCACACUACAUUGUCACCUGGAGUCAGCUCUGUAACCGUGGGCCCAAGUUUUUGUGGAAAUGGCUGAGACCGAUUUCCUCAGUGCCAUGGAGAGAACGACAGUGGGGAUCUAUGUUGUGAAAGACACUGCCAGCAGUGAACCCUCUGAUGUCAGGAUAGUCCUCGAAGGUGUGAUGGUGCUUCAAGAUCUUGAGAAUGUAGCACUUGCUUCUGCAAUGUUGUUUGGGCUCUUAUGCCUUGAACAUGCAGCACCCUACAAAGCUCCGCUACACCUUUGAGGCAUUUCAAAAGAUCAUCAUGGAGCCUCAGCAUCAGACACUUAAUAAUAUGAGCCUGUCAGCUGCAAAAACAGAACUUUUAGUGACACUAACUGACCAUGCACAGUUGCCCUAUAUAACGUUGCAGCCCGGUUCACAGCAAUCUUGCUCAAUGCUGGACCAAUUUUCAUGAAUUAACCACUAGAUAGCCUAAAUUUAUAUUGAUUGGCUGUAAAUGUAGCUGUUUUUUAAGUAUGCUUGUUUUUCCACUGUCCAAUUAACAUUUUUAUAUCUAUAAUUUCUUUAAAUUGACUGAUUAAUACUGUAAAUGUGCUGACAUUCCUUUUUGAUUAAAAGUACAUAUUCAGUA